RNAcentral lists this ribosomal RNA (521 nucleotides) under uncultured bacterium. Its description in RNAcentral is "bacterial SSU rRNA". It matches the Rfam family "Bacterial small subunit ribosomal RNA", at positions 777 to 1297 of the family's 1533-position model. The record is from RNAcentral.
AAUAGAUACCCGGGUAGUCCACGCCGUAAACGAUGUCGACUUGGAGGUUGUGCCCUUGAGGCGUGGCUUCCGGAGCUAACGCGUUAAGUCGACCGUCUGGGGAGUACGGCCGCAAGGUUAAAACUCAAAUGAAUUGACGGGGGGCCCGCACAAGCGGUGGAGCAUGUGGUUUAAUUCGAUGCAACGCGAAGAACCUUACCUACUCUUGACAUCCAGAGAACUUAGCAGAGAUGCUUUGGUGCCUUCGGGAACUCUGAGACAGGUGCUGCAUGGCUGUCGUCAGCUCGUGUUGUGAAAUGUUGGGUUAAGUCCCGCAACGAGCGCAACCCUUAUCCUUUGUUGCCAGCGGUUAGGCCGGGAACUCAAAGGAGACUGCCAGUGAUAAACUGGAGGAAGGUGGGGAUGACGUCAAGUCAUCAUGGCCCUUACGAGUAGGGCUACACACGUGCUACAAUGGCAUAUACAAAGAGAAGCGACCUCGCGAGAGCAAGCGGACCUCAUAAAGUAUGUCGUAGUCCGGA